UGUAGAAUAAGUUUAGCUUAAGCUGUUGGGCUUAUGCUCUAAUAAUGAGGUAAGGCCUCUUCUGUAA
This 67-nucleotide transfer RNA is filed under the name Yininemertes pratensis. RNAcentral describes it as "tRNA-Met". The record is from RNAcentral. Lineage: Eukaryota; Metazoa; Nemertea; Pilidiophora; Heteronemertea; Lineidae.